Molecule: long non-coding RNA, 616 nt
Organism: Girardinichthys multiradiatus
Lineage: Eukaryota; Metazoa; Chordata; Actinopteri; Cyprinodontiformes; Goodeidae
Exons: 3
Source: RefSeq, a predicted model, not a curated record
GCCAGUCAGGAUGGUACAUGGGAGAAGAGGAGUACUCCAGUGGAGUAUGGGAUAUGGGUGCCGCUUGUGCUCUGUUGGGUUAAGGACAGGUGUUUUCCAUCUCCGUGAUCAGCUGGGAGGUUUAAAAGGAGCAUGCUGCCAGCACUUCGAUGCCUGAGUGUUUUGCCUCUAUGGUUCAGUUUUGGACACAGCUCAAGUUCCUUUGAAGAACCUACCUGCCUUCACCUUUUCAUGCCAAGAAUUCGAGUUUGGAUAUUCCGUCAAGCUCCGCUGGCAGCAACCGGACUCCAUAACCUCAGCUUCCUCCGAGCGAACCUUGUCCACCCUCCAACGAGCGGCACCUCUGGACUCCAUCUGAAAGAACGUACCGAACCUAAGUUCUGAUCCUUGGGAAGGAUCAGUUAAACCUACGUAACCAGGUUACCAAGCUUACCAGACCAGGAACCUUAUCUCCUCCAGUGAGCCAUCCACACCUACAACUGUAAGAUACAUUACACAGCGAAUCCUAACUGUUACAAUCCACCACUUACCUGUUACCUCUCCAUGCAGCGGAGGAGUUCCUGUCCCGGACCACGCCUUCCACGAUCCUGUGAUAAAAUAAACGCUUUAAACUUUA